This 514-nucleotide ribosomal RNA is filed under the name uncultured bacterium. RNAcentral describes it as "partial 16S ribosomal RNA". It matches the Rfam family "Bacterial small subunit ribosomal RNA", at positions 28 to 523 of the family's 1533-position model. The record is from RNAcentral.
GAUGAACGCUGGCGGCGUGCCUAAUACAUGCAAGUCGAGCGAACAGAUGAGAAGCUUGCUUCUCUGAUGUUAGCGGCGGACGGGUGAGUAACACGUGGGUAACCUACCUAUAAGACUGGGAUAACUACGGGAAACCGGGGCUAAUACCGGAUAAUAUUUUUAACCGCAUGGUUCAAUAGUGAAAGACGGUUUCGGCUGUCACUAAUUGAUGGACCCGCGCCGUAUUAGCUAGCUGGGAAGGUAACGGCUUACCAAGGCGACGAUACGUAGCCGACCUGAGAGGGUGAUCGGCCACACUGGAACUGAGACACGGGCCAGACUCCUACGGGAGGCAGCAGUAGGGAAUCUUCCGCAAUGGGCGAAAGCCUGACGGAGCAACGCCGCGUGAGUGAUGAAGGUCUUCGGAUCGUAAAACUCUGUUGUUAGGGAAGAACAAAUUUGUUAGUAACUGAACAAGUCUUGACGGUACCUAACCAGAAAGCCACGGCUAACUACGUGCCAGCCGCCGCGGUAA